Molecule: ribosomal RNA, 574 nt
Filed under: uncultured bacterium
Lineage: Bacteria
Description: partial 16S ribosomal RNA
Rfam family: Bacterial small subunit ribosomal RNA
Source: RNAcentral
CUAAGAAUAUUCCGCAAUGGACGGAAGUCUGACGGAGCGACGCCGCGUGGAUGACGAAGGCCGAAAGGUUGUAAAGUUCUUUUGCUGGGGAAGAAUAACCGCAGGAGGGAAUGCCUGUGGGAUGACAAGAACCGGCGAAUAAGCCCCGGCCAACUACGUGCCAGCAGCCGCGGUAACACGUAGGGGGCGAGCGUUGUUCGGAAUUACUGGGCGUAAAGGGCAUGUAGGCGGCUUGGAAAGCCUGGCGUGAAAGUCUGCAGCUUAACUGCAGGGGUGCGCUGGGAACUGCUGAGCUUGAGUGACGGAGAGGGAGCUGGAAUUCCUGGUGUAGGGGUGAAAUCUGUAGAUAUCAGGAAGAACACCGAUGGCGAAGGCAAGCUCCUGGCCGAUGACUGACGCUGAGGUGCGAAAGUGUGGGGAUCAAACAGGAUUAGAUACCCUGGUAGUCCACACAGUCAACGAUGUGCACUAGGUGCUGGGGCGGUAGCUUCGGUGCCGGAGCGAACGUGGUAAGUGCACCGCCUGGGGAGUAUGCUCGCAAGGGUGAAACUCAAAUGAAUUGACGGGGGUCAUA